CCAACCUGACUUGCAGAGGCUCAGGUGCUGACCAGGCCUCCGUGUCAGGAAGCACCUGCUGCGGGCUGCUUACAGAAGGAUGAAACAGCUGGCUCUGACCUCCAGAGCUCUUCCAGGCUCUCACCGCCUGGCCCUUUAUAAAUGAGUGAUACGACUCUGGAGAGUCUAUGCUACUACCUCUUUUGAGAGAAGGUACUCCGACCUCCAAGAAAUUCAAGCCAAAAUUUCAAGUUGAGGCUGAUCCUGUGUGGAACUCUCUGCACUUCCUGUACUUGGGUGACUGUCCUCAAGUGAGGGAAGUUUUCAGUUAUUACCAGACUCCCUGAAUUCUUAUCUCUGAUCCUCACCUCAGGAAAACUGCUGUGCUCUGCUUGUGAUCCUCUUCCUGCAUGAAGAUCUGGAAAGCUCCUCCAGGCAGUAACAAGAAACGUGAGGAGGAGAUGUUACAGGAGGAUCACCACAGCCCGAAAAGGAAAGGAAGAUACUUUCUUUCAGACUAACAGGACUUCAGUUCUCUUCAAAGCAGCAAGGAAGCCACUUCAUUUUUUAACCACUUCAAACAUACUUAUAGCUAAGAGUGGCCAGUGACUCAGUUUUGACCAAAGAAAUAUAUGCAGGGGUUUUCAAUCUGACAUGUAAAGAGUUUAGAAAUCAUCACUACCAUCCUUACAACGAGAAAAAUGCUGAAUGAAGUGAAAAUCAACAACUCUCCUUAGAUCCAUCGGAGAACUGAGGUCACAGGGCAAACUACCUUGCCUAAAACUGAAGAGACAAUGCUAUGAGGAGGAACGCUUAAAUUUUAAAGGAUGAAUUGCUGAGGCUCAGUAUGGAUUAGCUUGAAAGUGUAAAAACUCAAGGCUGGCAGCAAGCCUUACGGAAGCCCUAAUAUUCCCUUGAGUGAAGAUUAGAGAAAAAUCUCCUUUUGCUUCCAGCAGUAGGAGGGGAAAAACAAUGAUUCUGAAAUUCCUAGAGCUCUCUGUUCUCCUCAAUAGGGCAUGACCUUUAAGGAAACUAUUUUAUCAGGACCUAACCAGUUCGGGUUUGAUCGAACCCUAAGUGACCUAGAGGGAGGGAAAUGCCCAAAUCUAGACCAUUCUACAUGGGGGAAGGAAAAUACUCAAUUCCAGAUCCCUAUAGCCUUCUCUCUCACUUAUGGGAAUGGUGGCCAAGUUGUUGUUAAGAAAGUCACAUCCCAGAGACACAGACUUAUUAAAUGACAGACCUAAUCAUAGGACUAUAAUGUGCCUUUCUUACCACCAGAUCAGUGAGGCUCCUCUAUGAUAUCGGGGGAAUCCAACUUAAAGAACUGCAAGCCUUGGACCCUAUUUAAGAAAGAGUCUCUAGGGGGACACAAAUCUAAGAGGAAAGACAAAAAUAAGGACAUGAGAGUAACUUCUUGCCUGACACCACAGCUAUAGCAAACAGAAAACAUAGCCUAAAUCCUAGCCAGAUAAACAUAAAACCUAGAGGCCUAUCUCUCUCAGUUUCUGUUACUCAGUACAUCAUAUCUGACUCUCAACAAAAGAUUAUAAGAUCUGCUAAAAAGCAACAAAACAAAACAAACAAUAAAACAGCCUGAAGAGACAAAGCAAGCAUCAGAUCCAGGCUCAGAUACGGCAGAAAUUUUGGUCAGACUGAGAAUUUAAAAUAAUUAUGAUUAAUAUAGUAAGAGCUUUAAUGGAAAAAGUGGACAAGAUGCAAGAACAGAUGGGUAACCUAAGGAGAAAUGGAAACUGUAAGAAUCAAAAGCAAAUGCUAGAAAUCUCAAACAUUGUAGCAUACACUAAGAAUGCCAUCAAUAGACUGGACAUGGUAGAAAAAAUAAUCAGAGAGCUUAACUGUACAUCAAUAGAAGCUGUCCAAACUAAAAAGAAAAAGAAGUCUGAAAAAAAAAACAGCAAUAGAAUAUCCAAGA
Molecule: long non-coding RNA, 1915 nt
Organism: Camelus dromedarius (Arabian camel)
Lineage: Eukaryota; Metazoa; Chordata; Mammalia; Artiodactyla; Camelidae
Exons: 3
Source: RefSeq, a predicted model, not a curated record